UGCGAAGAUCUUCAGGAGUCUAGACAAGCAAAGACACUUGUCAAGUUUUGAAUUUACUGCCUAGUAGAUCUGUGGUUUAUUUUACAGCAAGAAGGGAGGGCACUGUCUGAUAGGGUUGGAGACGGAUUAUUUGGACGCACUGGAACUCAACUCAGGGUGCAGCAGCAAAGACCCAACGCUUCCUCUUCUUCCUCAACCCUGCCUGCAUGUUAAUGCAGCAGCACGGAAUAGAAUGAGACAGCCAGCUUGACUGCGAGGCGUUUUGUUAUCAUAGAAAUCAAAGCAACGAGUCUUCAUCGCUGGGAAAUUUCCACAGAUUUCUACAGAAAGGCUCAUACAGGUGACAAGAGCUCCCAACUUCACCGCACCGCCUGGAACCAGCGCGUUUUAUCCACAGGGGGUGAGCUGCGUGAGACCCUCACUGCUCCUCUUCUUCUUUAAUGUAAAUUUCUUUUUUUUUUUCCAUUUUGACGCGACAUUUCACUGCGCCGAUGUGCAUGCGGCCACGCAAUGACGCACUUGCGGCUUUUGGCCGCGUUUCAGUGAUCUCAUUUCGGAUUGUUCUCAUUUUAAGGGGUGAGUUUAGAGAUGGCGCACCGGAGUGUCCCGUUUUCUGACAAGUUUCCGCUGCUGUUUGGUAUGUUCGUCAUGUCCGCCCGGCUUCACGCGCGCCUCUCCGUGUAGAACCAGACGCGGAUUCAGAAGUUGGCCGGGAAUAACAAUAAGAGGAGUGCGCAGCUCGGAGGACGAAGAGCAGAAGUGACAGCGGCGUUCAUGGGGUGCUGGGCGGCUGAAUUUACUACCAUCAUCCGCAUCUCUUUGCGAGGAAUAAAAACUGCGAGGGGGGUUCUGCUACUGCCCACCCUCUCUUCAUCCACACACUUUUAAAUUUUUAAAACAUUUUCUGUAGUGAAUCCAGGCUUCUGGCGCCGCAGCUGCGCAAAACUUGGCCAGAUCUGGGAACAUUGUCGCUUGUUUGCGCAGCCUGGAUGGAUAUGCGGCUGACGGAGGGAAUUUAUUAUUAUUAUUAUUAAAAAAAAAGCAAGGGGGGAUUGUUAUCAGUCCCUCGUCCAUUAUACCCUCAAAAUGGAUGCCUACGUCAGGCUUUGGGGACGCCACUGGAUAAUCGGCAUCUGAGAAGCGCUUACAGGCGUUUAAAGUUUGGAUAAAUCCGAAGCGGCUGACAGGCUAGAAUGCAGUCUGCGGCCAAGACGCUGUCCUCAGGUGGAGGGGCGUCGCUCUGCUGCCUACUUCUCCUCUGGAUCAUCUACUCGCACUUGCUCAGAGAAGGCCAGUUGGUGGUGGGGACCUGUGAGAUAGUGAUGCUCAACAGAGACAGCAGUGUUCCGAGGCGGACAAUCGCACGGCAGACCGCGCGCUGCGCCUGUCGGAGAGGCCAGAUUGCCGGCACCACCAGGGCGAGGCCAGCUUGUGUAGACGCGCGAAUCGUGCGGAGCCGUCAGUGGUGUGAGAUGGCUCCCUGCAUGGAGGGGGAGGUCUGCAGCCUCCUGUUCAACAGAUCUGGCUGGACCUGCACUAGGGGCAGUGGUCGCAUCAAGACCGUCACGAAAAGUUCUCAGGAUUUGGUGGCCGAAGGUCGGAAAACGUGGAGCGGAUCGGAGUCUCAGGACUGGAGGCGGAGGCUUGAACUGUCAUAGGAGAUGGAGCGGGAGCAGAGCCUUUGCCCAGGGAGCCGUCGUAGGACAAAGGGGAAAACAGCAAUCAGCAACAGCCCCACAAAUGAGAGGCCAAACUGCGCUGCGCAGCCUUUGGCUCUGAGGACCCGAGACGCUUGGCGGAUUCGUGAAAUGCAGCAAGUCUCUUUAUCUCAUCGCCAGGGUCACAAACAUGUUUUUUUCAAAACAAAGCAGUGGCCAGUCACUAUAUCUGUAUCCAUUCACUAACGGGCCUCACAAAAUCUCCUCAAGGACUGACCUCCCAGGACAAAAAAAAAGCUUCUCCAGUCACUCCAGUGACUCUUGGGAUAAUUCUGAGAAGCCUCAGCUGAGCCUCUCAAUACACCAACAGCAUCAAACUUUCACCACAGACUGAUUUACUAAGUCAUCACUGAGAGAGAAAGAAAAUUCCCUAUGAGGAACAGUUUUUAGUGGAGCAUUGACUUUCUGGCCUUUUUAUGCUGUUGUGUCCUCCACCACCUGAUUUCUAAGGGAAGGAUCCUUGAAGAUCUUUUUAUUCGUACCUUUUGUGACUGGAUUCAAACUUAUGAGGAGCUUCUUUUAAGAGUCAGCCGUUUUAGCGUCCUUACAUUCCCCUCCAUGAAGCCGUAAUAACCCACUCACAUUUCAUUAACAACACUUUGCUGCUAAAGAGCUGUGAUUUUACUGAGGCUGAGCCAAACACUGUAGUCUGCCAGAUUAGAGCCUUUAACACCUUUCUCUCGUUUGACUCGGUGGAACUUUACAAGGCUGAGGAGAACACCGCAGGACCAUCACUGGGAAGCAGUGAGGAACGUCACAUAGACAACAGGAAGACGUCAUUGUGUAUGGCUCCUUGCUGAAAGUCAGUAUUAUGUGGACGCUUUGGUUGACUUAGUUUGUGUCUUUUGCUUUUUUUUUUUUAUGUGGCACAAACAUAGCAUAGCGGAGUAGUUUUUGUCAAUGAACCUGAGCCAUAUUGCCCACACCACUGGGAGUAUUUAGCAAAUGUGGACCCCCAGCUCAUUUUAUGUGUUUUGGGAGAUGGUGCAUGUCUGCAUCUGUCCAUGUGUGUGAUUCUCUGCGGGGGUGAACGUUUAUGUGUGUGUGUGCGUGCCGGGGUGUGUGUGUGCAUGAGUACAACAGGAAACACACUGUGAAAUAAGUCCUAUCCAAUGCAUUAUUCAUACUCUUGUAUAUUUUUGGGACAUGCCCAGACUAGAGCUCACCAUCUGGCGAAGAGAAUUUCACAAAUGUUGGAUCCAGUUCAUAUCCAUGGUUUCACCUUUUGCUUUUUUUCCCCCUCUUCCUGUAGUAUUUACAGAUAUUUUUACUGAAGUAACAAAUGGUUAAACCUGGAUCACAACUGGUCAAAUCAGUUAAAUCCUCUAAUCAAGCUCUUGUUUAUGUGAUUAAUAUUAUUUCUGAAUCCUAUCAAAAUUGAAUAUAUUUUGAUAUACACGUCCAGCUCUUUGCAGGACGUGGUAUUUGCAGAUAUUGAUGAUAGUGUGACUUAUUUUAAAAAUGUAUGUAGCUCAAUAUAUAUCAGACAAAUAUAUUUUAUGUUAUCAUUAAAGGGCAGCAGAACUGUUUGAUUUGGGUGGACACAAAAACAUAAGCACUUCUAACAAUACUCAGCCUGAACAUUAUAAAAUUAGUCAACAUUCUCCUACAUUUUGAAGAUUAUUUUAUUUUUUGUUUUCAUUUCUGGCAAGAAAACAGGAACAGUCUGCUUUAUGAUGCUGAAGUGUUUUAGUUCAUGUGUCCAUUCCAUUUGUUUAAUUCUUUCUACUCAAAAACAAAACAUCCUCCUGUACGUCUCCAUUGACUGUUUGCAUUCGAGGAUAUAAAUAAUGUCUGUUUCGGAUGAACAUGGCGUAUUUGUGAGAAUCGAUUUACACCACUCAAAUCCUGUGGGUUGCGACAGUUUUGUAGACUGUUCAAACAUUGGUUUAGGCUUUAUAGCUCGGUUUAAGGCAUUAUGUGUACAAAGGCUUGUAAGAAAUGCAAAAUAGCAAGUGUGUUUAUGAGAGAUUUGCUUCGUGUGUGUCUGUUUUUUCCAGGUCAGCUAUGGUCUGUAUUGUGAGAAAAUAUCCAUUUCCAUCUAAUUCAAUGGUUUUGAUUUCAUGUAGCCUUUUUAAUCAUUCCUUUGGUUUUGCACUCUGUGUAAAUAAAUUGUCGCUUUGAUUUGACUCCAUGCCACUUUCGGUGCUGCUGCAGAUGGAUUCAUUAAAGCUUUUGAACUGGAACGUAGUUAGAAGUACAAAUGAAUUUUUUUUUUCCUAUUGGUGAAAACUGGAAAUGGUGCAGUAUUAGAUUUUGACAGUAUGGUCAUCUUGAUUAACUUACAUUUGUUUCACUGAAUUAUGCUAUUUAUACUAUUAUGGAAUGCAUUUCAAUAGUUUAGGAAAAUACUGAUUUGAGUUUCGAACUGUCUACCAUCACAUGUGACAUUGUAGCCCCACCAAUCUGAUCUUCACAUAAUCCUGAUGGAUUAUUGAACCCGUUGAAAAAGUGUUAAAGACACAUGUGCUAUUGCAGCAUUGACAACAAUAUCCAACAGUUAAGGUAGUGUCCCGACUUCUCUUUCUACUCUAUGCAGACUUUCUGUCUGCAGAAAUGAAGAUUUACUUACUAAGGUAAGUAAAUCUUCAUUUCUGCAGACAGAAAUUCAGCUGAGGGCUUGGAAAAUUUCCAACUGAUGUUCUCUGGCUUAUUUGAUCAUGCCAGCUAAUAAUCAUUGAAGCACUUGGGGAAAAUUAACAUUUUUCUCCAGAAUAUCUGCAUUCACUCUUAUUUUACGGCAUAUAUUAUUUAUAUAAGUUGUAAUACUGAUGCUGUGAAAUAUUUGGCGUCCAAGAAGCUGGAUUUGACUAAACUCACAUUCUUUAUGCUUCAGUUUUAGAUGUGUUACGGGUUCUGGAGUGUUAUUUACUUGAAGCCACGUCUUUUCUCUGAAUCACAAGGAAGAUUCACAACAACGUUUUGGGUAUACCUUUGUGAGCUUGCGACUAAGCUAUAUUCAUAAAUGAUCUCUAAAAAGCAAAAGUUUCUGCAAACGUUUUUUGCAGAAAACAAAAAUGUUGUUUUAAAAUUGGUAGAAAAAAGCACAGGGCCCCCUCUGCCACACAGCUGACUGACAACUUGUAGCAACAAGUAAGACGGAAACUUCAUGCUAUACUACAUGUGUCUAGAGAAAACUUUGCAUUGUCUCUAUUAUUGUAGUAAAAAAAGUUUAGGUCAUAA
RNA transcript from Xiphophorus hellerii (green swordtail), 4901 nucleotides. It is a transcript of the gene named TAFA chemokine like family member 5, like, with no coding region annotated. The record is from RefSeq and is a predicted model, not a curated record. NCBI's taxonomy places the organism in Eukaryota, Metazoa, Chordata, Actinopteri, Cyprinodontiformes, Poeciliidae. The transcript is spliced from 7 exons.